UAAUACUAUAAAGGUUCAAGUCA
RNAcentral lists this microRNA (23 nucleotides) under Bombyx mori (domestic silkworm). RNAcentral's name for it is "bmo-miR-3355". The record is from miRBase by way of RNAcentral. Lineage: Eukaryota; Metazoa; Arthropoda; Insecta; Lepidoptera; Bombycidae.